Molecule: ribosomal RNA, 253 nt
Filed under: uncultured bacterium
Lineage: Bacteria
Description: partial 16S ribosomal RNA
Rfam family: Bacterial small subunit ribosomal RNA
Source: RNAcentral
GACGGAGGAUGCAAGCGUUAUCCGGAAUUAUUGGGCGUAAAGCGUCCGCAGGUGGCUGUUCAAGUCUGCUGUCAAAGCGCAGGGCUUAACUCUGUACAGGCGGUGGAAACUGAAGAGCUAGAGUAUGGUAGGGGUAGAGGGAAUUCCCGGUGUAGCGGUGAAAUGCGUAGAUAUCGGGAAGAACACCAGUGGCGAAGGCGGCUACCUGGCCCAUUCUUGACGCUGAGGCGCGAAAGCUAGGGGAGCGAACGGG